GGUGGUUCUCAGGUGAUGCACCCAAGAACCAGGCUCCCUCCUCUCUAGUUCCAGGUGCGUCACCCUAGAACCACA
This is a non-coding RNA of Myotis brandtii (Brandt's bat), 75 nucleotides long. The record is from Rfam. NCBI's taxonomy places the organism in Eukaryota, Metazoa, Chordata, Mammalia, Chiroptera, Vespertilionidae.